This 497-nucleotide ribosomal RNA is filed under the name uncultured bacterium. RNAcentral describes it as "partial 16S ribosomal RNA". It matches the Rfam family "Bacterial small subunit ribosomal RNA", at positions 28 to 507 of the family's 1533-position model. The record is from RNAcentral.
GAUGAACGCUGGCGGCGUGCCUAAUACAUGCAAGUCGAGCGAACAGACGAGGAGUUUGUUCCUUUGUCGUUUGGGGCGGAGGGGUGGGAAACACGUGGAAACCCUCCUUAAAAUACGGGGAAAAUUUGGGGAAACGGGCGCAAAUACGGGAUAAUCUAUUGAACCGCAGGGUUCAAUAGUGAAUGACGGCUUUGCGGUACCUACUAGUGGGAUCCGCGCCGCUUUAGCUGGUUGGUAAGGUAACGGCUUACCAAGGCAACGAUGCGUAGCCGACCUGAGAGGGUGAUCGGCCACACUGGAACUGAGACACGGUCCAGACUCCUACGGGAGGCAGCAGUAGGGAAUCUUCCGCAAUGGGCGAAAGCCUGACGGAGCAACGCCGCGUGAGUGAUGAAGGUCUUCGGAUCGUAAAACUCUGUUAUUAGGGAAGAACAAAUGUGUAAGUAACUGUGCACGUCUUGACGGUACCUAAUCAGAAAGCCACGGCUAACUACGUG